Molecule: ribosomal RNA, 405 nt
Filed under: bacterium N0036
Lineage: Bacteria
Description: bacterial SSU rRNA
Rfam family: Bacterial small subunit ribosomal RNA
Source: RNAcentral
GAAACUCGUAUUAAUACCGCAUACGACCUACGGGAGAAAGGGGGCAGUUUACUGCUCUCGCUAUUAGAUGAGCCUAAGUCGGAUUAGCUAGAUGGUGGGGUAAAGGCCUACCAUGGCGACGAUCUGUAGCUGGUCUGAGAGGAUGAUCAGCCACACCGGGACUGAGACACGGCCCGGACUCCUACGGGAGGCAGCAGUGGGGAAUAUUGGACAAUGGGGGAAACCCUGAUCCAGCCAUGCCGCGUGUGUGAAGAAGGCCUUUUGGUUGUAAAGCACUUUAAGCAGUGAAGAAGACUCUUCGGUUAAUACCCGGAGACGAUGACAUUAGCUGCAGAAUAAGCACCGGCUAACUCUGUGCCAGCAGCCGCGGUAAUACAGAGGGUGCAAGCGUUAAUCGGAAUUACU